Molecule: ribosomal RNA, 2222 nt
Filed under: human gut metagenome
Description: bacterial LSU rRNA
Rfam family: Bacterial large subunit ribosomal RNA
Source: RNAcentral
UUAAGUUAAUAAGGGCGCACGGUGGAUGCCUUGGCACUAGAAGCCGAUGAAGGACGUGACUAACGACGAAAUGCUUUGGGGAGCUGUAAGUGAGCAAUGAUCCAGAGAUGUCCGAAUGGGGGAACCCGGCAGGUAAUGCCUGUCACUCAUUACUGUUAAGGUAAUGUAGAGGAAGACGCAGUGAACUGAAACAUCUAAGUAGCUGCAGGAAGAGAAAGCAAAAGCGAUUGCCUUAGUAGCGGCGAGCGAAACGGCAAGAGGGCAAACCGAAGAGUUUACUCUUCGGGGUUGUAGGACUGCAACGUGGACUUAAAGAUUAUAGAAGAACUACCUGGGAAGGUAGGCCAAAGAGAGUAAUAGCCUCGUAUUCGAAAUAGUCUUUAUACCUAGCAGUAUCCUGAGUACGGCGAGACACGAGAAAUCUCGUCGGAAUCUGGGAGGACCAUCUCCCAACCCUAAAUACUCUCUAGUGACCGAUAGUGAACCAGUACCGUGAGGGAAAGGUGAAAAGCACCCCGGGAGGGGAGUGAAAUAGAACCUGAAACCGUGUGCCUACAACAAGUUCGAGCCCGUUAAUGGGUGAGAGCGUGCCUUUUGUAGAAUGAACCGGCGAGUUACGAUAUGAUGCGAGGUUAAGUUGAAGAGACGGAGCCGUAGGGAAACCGAGUCUUAAUAGGGCGUAUUAGUAUCAUGUCGUAGACCCGAAACCAUGUGACCUACCCAUGAGCAGGUUGAAGGUGAGGUAAAACUCACUGGAGGACCGAACCAGGGCACGUUGAAAAGUGCUUGGAUGACUUGUGGGUAGCGGAGAAAUUCCAAACGAACUUGGAGAUAGCUGGUUCUCUCCGAAAUAGCUUUAGGGCUAGCGUCGAUGUUAAGUCUCUUGGAGGUAGAGCACUGUUUGGGUGAGGGGUCCAUCCCGGAUUACCAAUCUCAGAUAAACUCCGAAUGCCAACGAGAUAUAAUCGGCAGUCAGACUGCGAGUGCUAAGAUCCGUAGUCGAAAGGGAAACAGCCCAGACCACCAGCUAAGGUCCCAAAAUAUAUGUUAAGUGGAAAAGGAUGUGGGGUUGCACAGACAACUAGGAUGUUAGCUUAGAAGCAGCUAUUCAUUCAAAGAGUGCGUAAUAGCUCACUAGUCGAGUGACCCUGCGCCGAAAAUGUACCGGGGCUAAAACAUAUUACCGAAGCUGUGGAUACCUUUAUAGGUAUGGUAGGAGAGCGUUCUAUGUGCGAAGAAGGUGUACCGUGAGGAGUGCUGGAGCGCAUAGAAGUGAGAAUGCCGGUAUGAGUAGCGAAAGACAGGUGAGAAUCCUGUCCACCGUAAGACUAAGGUUUCCAGGGGAAGGCUCGUCCGCCCUGGGUUAGUCGGGACCUAAGGAGAGACCGAAAGGUGUAUCCGAUGGACAACAGGUUGAUAUUCCUGUACUAGAGUAUAUAGUGAUGGAGGGACGCAGUAGGCUAACUAAACCAGACGAUUGGAAGUGUCUGGCCAAGCAGUGAGGUGUGAUAUGAGUCAAAUGCUUAUAUCUAUAACAUUGAGCUGUGAUGGGGAGCGAAGUUUAGUAGCGAAGUUAGUGAUGUCACACUGCCGAGAAAAGCUUCUAGCGUUAAUUAUACUCUACCCGUACCGCAAACCGACACAGGUAGUCGAGGCGAGUAGCCUCAGGUGAGCGAGAGAACUCUCGUUAAGGAACUCGGCAAAAUGGCCCCGUAACUUCGGGAGAAGGGGCGCUGACUUAUGGUCAGCCGCAGUGAAUAGGCCCAAGCAACUGUUUAUCAAAAACACAGCUCUCUGCUAAAUCGUAAGAUGAUGUAUAGGGGGUGACGCCUGCCCGGUGCUGGAAGGUUAAGAGGAGUGCUUAGCAAUAGCGAAGGUAUGAAUUGAAGCCCCAGUAAACGGCGGCCGUAACUAUAACGGUCCUAAGGUAGCGAAAUUCCUUGUCGGGUAAGUUCCGACCCGCACGAAAGGCGUAAUGAUUUGGGCACUGUCUCAACGAGAGACUCGGUGAAAUUUUAGUACCUGUGAAGAUGCAGGUUACCCGCGACAGGACGGAAAGACCCCAUGGAGCUUUACUGCAGUUUGAUAUUGAGUAUCUGUACCACAUGUACAGGAUAGGUAGGAGCCUAUGACCUCGGGACGCCAGUUUAUAGUGAGGCGUUGUGGGGAUACUACCCUUGGGUUAUGGCUACUCUAACCCAGAUAGGUUAUCCCUAUCGGAG